This 484-nucleotide ribosomal RNA is filed under the name uncultured bacterium. RNAcentral describes it as "bacterial SSU rRNA". It matches the Rfam family "Bacterial small subunit ribosomal RNA", at positions 232 to 730 of the family's 1533-position model. The record is from RNAcentral.
CGCGUCUGAUUAGCUAGUUGGCGGGGUAACGGCCCACCAAGGCGACGAUCAGUAGCCGGACUGAGAGGUUGAACGGCCACAUUGGGACUGAGACACGGCCCAGACUCCUACGGGAGGCAGCAGUGGGGAAUAUUGCGCAAUGGGGGAAACCCUGACGCAGCAACGCCGCGUGAUUGAAGAAGGCCUUCGGGUUGUAAAGAUCUUUAAUUCGGGACGAAAAAAAUGACGGUACCGAAAGAAUAAGCUCCGGCUAACUACGUGCCAGCAGCCGCGGUAAUACGUAGGGAGCAAGCGUUAUCCGGAUUUACUGGGUGUAAAGGGCGCGCAGGCGGGCUUGCAAGUUGGGAGUGAAAUCCCGGGGCUCAACCCCGGAACUGCUUUCAAAACUGUGAGUCUUGAGUGAUGGAGAGGCAGGCGGAAUUCCCAGUGUAGCGGUGAAAUGCGUAGAUAUUGGGAGGAACACCAGUGGCGAAGGCGACUUACU